UCCAGUCCAGUUGGUGGCAGUAAUGCGCUUUCAUAGUCGGUCAAGCAGCCGCCAUUAAACUCCAGAGGAAGAUUUGCACUGGUGGUAACGAGUGCCAACUGCCUACACCCAACAUGAACGAAAAAACCGGUGCGUUGUGUGAAAUGGUGGAAAGUCCUAUUUCACGGAGUUACCUUUUCAGUAUCGUUUUGAUAUUAAGCAAUGUUCCGGCGGAAAACGACAGAUGACACCGCGGCGGUCCAACAAGACCGAACUCACUACCUGAAAAAUGGCCAAGCCGUACCAGCCAGACCUCAGACCGCCGUGCCGAGGAGCUCUUACGGAGUCCACCAGGAAGGAGAGAAAUUCAUACAGCAAGGCAGAGUGUGGAACGCAGUAAAGAUCUACAAAAUGGCGGACGGAGGACGGAUAUGAGGACGAAGUCAUGAAGCCUAAUGAGUCACAUUUGUGUCAAUCAGACUCUUCCGGAACGUUCUGAUGUCCGUGAUGAGGACAGAGAUGCAACUCUGUUUUCCAGUGUUUCUCGGAAAAACAGAAGAAUCAGUGUUCUGAAAGUUGAAACAACAUUCAGUGAUGCUAGAGACUUAUAGAUCAAGGCAAAGAUAAAAAAUGUAUGUAA
This is a non-coding RNA of Poecilia reticulata (guppy), 619 nucleotides long. Lineage: Eukaryota; Metazoa; Chordata; Actinopteri; Cyprinodontiformes; Poeciliidae. The record is from RefSeq and is a predicted model, not a curated record.